CACCGCGGUUAUACGAGAGACCCAAAUUGAUGAAAAACGGCGUAAAGCGUGGUUAAGAAAAUAAGAAAAAUAGGGUCGAACAGCCUCAAAGCAGUUAUACGCAUUCGAGGCCACGAAGCACAGUCACGAAAGUGGCCCUACUAACCCCUGAUUCCACGAAAGCCAUAAAA
RNAcentral lists this ribosomal RNA (170 nucleotides) under Brosme brosme. RNAcentral describes it as "partial 12S rRNA". The record is from RNAcentral. Lineage: Eukaryota; Metazoa; Chordata; Actinopteri; Gadiformes; Lotidae.